This 208-nucleotide ribosomal RNA is filed under the name uncultured bacterium. Its description in RNAcentral is "partial 16S ribosomal RNA". It matches the Rfam family "Bacterial small subunit ribosomal RNA", at positions 1294 to 1500 of the family's 1533-position model. The record is from RNAcentral.
CGGACUGUAGGCUGCAACUCGCCUACACGAAGUCGGAACCGCUAGUAAUCGCGGAUCAGCAUGCCGCGGUGAAUACGUUCCCGGGCCUUGUACACACCGCCCGUCACACCAUGGGAGUUUGUAACGCCCAAAGUCGGUGGCCUAACCUUUAUGGAGGGAGCCGCCUAAGGCGGGACAGAUGACUGGGGUGAAGUCGUAACAAGGUAAC